UGAGAGCGGCGUACGGGUGCGGAACACGUGUGCAACCUGCCUUUAUCGGGGGAUAGCCUUUCGAAAGGAAGAUUAAUACCCCAUAAUAUAUUGAAUGGCAUCAUUUGAUAUUGAAAACUCCGGUGGAUAGAGAUGGGCACGCGCAAGAUUAGAUAGUUGGUGAGGUAACGGCUCACCAAGUCAGCGAUCUUUAGGGGGCCUGAGAGGGUGAUCCCCCACACUGGUACUGAGACACGGACCAGACUCCUACGGGAGGCAGCAGUGAGGAAUAUUGGACAAUGGGUGAGAGCCUGAUCCAGCCAUCCCGCGUGAAGGACGACGGCCCUAUGGGUUGUAAACUUCUUUUGUAUAGGGAUAAACCUACCCUCGUGAGGGUAGCUGAAGGUACUAUACGAAUAAGCACCGGCUAACUCCGUGCCAGCAGCCGCGGUAAUACGGAGGGUGCAAGCGUUAUCCGGAUUUAUUGUUUAAAGGGUCCGUAGGCUGAUUUGUAAGUCAGUGGUGAAAUCUCACAGCUUAACUGUGAAACUGCCAUUGAUACUGCAAGUCUUGAGUGUUGUUGAAGUAGCUGGAAUAAGUAGUGUAGCGGUGAAAUGCAUAGAUAUUACUUAGAACACCAAUUGCGAAGGCAGGUUAGCAGGUUACUAAGCAACAACUGACGCUGAUGGACGAAAGCGUGGGGAGCGAACAGGAUUAGAUACCCUGGUAGUCCACGCCGUAAACGAUGCUAACUCGUUUUUGGGCUUUUGGGUUCAGAGACUAAGCGAAAGUGAUAAGUUAGCCACCUGGGGAGUACGAACGCAAGUUUGAAACUCAAAGGAAUUGACGGGGGCCCGCACAAGCGGUGGAUAAUGUGGUUUAAUUCGAUGAUACGCGAGGAACCUUACCAAGGCUUAAAUGGGAAAUGACAGGCUUAGAAAUAGGCUUUUCUUCGGACAUUUUUCAAGGUGCUGCAUGGUUGUCGUCAGCUCGUGCCGUGAGGUGUUAGGUUAAGUCCUGCAACGAGCGCAACCCCUGUCACUAGUUGCCAUCAUUAAGUUGGGGACUCUAGUGAGACUGCCUACGCAAGUAGAGAGGAAGGUGGGGAUGACGUCAAAUCAUCACGGCCCUUACGCCUUGGGCCACACACGUAAUACAAUGGCCGGUACAGAGGGCAGCUACACUGCGAAGUGAUGCAAAUCUCGAAAGCCGGUCUCAGUUCGGAUUGGAGUCUGCAACUCGACUCUAUGAAGCUGGAAUCGCUAGUAAUCGCGCAUCAGCCAUGGCGCGGUGAAUACGUUCCCGGGCCUUGUACACA
Molecule: ribosomal RNA, 1297 nt
Filed under: uncultured Chryseobacterium sp.
Lineage: Bacteria; Pseudomonadati; Bacteroidota; Flavobacteriia; Flavobacteriales; Weeksellaceae
Description: bacterial SSU rRNA
Rfam family: Bacterial small subunit ribosomal RNA
Source: RNAcentral